UCUCCAGAGAAUCAAAUUCAUUAUCUUGUGGCUUUGUCAUUGGCUGGCUGCUUGGUAGUUUGCAUAGUUAUUACACUUGUCUCAACGUGGAACUUGACAAAGGUGGAAAUUCAGUUGUGCAACAUGUUAUCUCCUGAGGGGCCGAAAAUGUCACUUGGUUCCUAUAACUGGGGACUCGUAUGCAUCGUCUUCACAUCAUUAAUUUACUUCGGGUAUUUUUUGCCAUGCUCAUAGACAAUUUCUUGUGCCCCAUUUCUGCGAUGUGGUCGUAUUUUCAUAAAAUAUGUAACCUAGUCUAGAGUUCAAUGCUACUUGAAGGAAGGAAAAAUAAGCAAGACUAUUUUGCAGAUUGAAAGACUUAAACAAGAUGGUGUGACUUAUUCUAAUCUUGGAGGGAAACAUUUAUACAGUAAACUGGUUUGCAUUCUAGAAAGUCUCAUUUGUUGGAUUUUUAGUAAAAAGAUUGGUUCGAUGGCGUAAACUGAAGAGGUUUGAUAGCUGAAAACCAUCAUUUCCCACAUAGAGCAUGUGGCAUUCUUUGUGUUUUUAUUUUCUUCUUCUUUUCUUGUGCAAUUGCUUGUAAUCUCCUUUUUUUCUUUUUGUCAUUUUUUGGGAACAAUGUAUCAGAUUCAUUCAUUUGAUUCUUUUGUA
Long non-coding RNA from Dioscorea cayenensis subsp. rotundata (Guinea yam), 651 nucleotides. RefSeq lists it as uncharacterized. Lineage: Eukaryota; Viridiplantae; Streptophyta; Magnoliopsida; Dioscoreales; Dioscoreaceae. The record is from RefSeq and is a predicted model, not a curated record. The transcript has 4 exons.